Molecule: ribosomal RNA, 497 nt
Filed under: uncultured bacterium
Lineage: Bacteria
Description: partial 16S ribosomal RNA
Rfam family: Bacterial small subunit ribosomal RNA
Source: RNAcentral
GACGAACGCUGGCGGCGUGCCUAAUACAUGCAAGUAGAACGCUGAAGAGAGGAGCUUGCUCUUCUUGGAUGAGUUGCGAACGGGUGAGUAACGCGUAGGUAACCUGCCUUGUAGCGGGGGAUAACUAUUGGAAACGAUAGCUAAUACCGCAUAACAAUGGAUGACACAUGUCAUUUAUUUGAAAGGGGCAAUUGCUCCACUACAAGAUGGACCUGCGUUGUAUUAGCUAGUAGGUGAGGUAAUGGCUCACCUAGGCGACGAUACAUAGCCGACCUGAGAGGGUGAUCGGCCACACUGGGACUGAGACACGGCCCAGACUCCUACGGGAGGCAGCAGUAGGGAAUCUUCGGCAAUGGGGGCAACCCUGACCGAGCAACGCCACGUGAGUGAAGAAGGUUGUCGGAUCGUAAAGCUCUGUUGUAAGUCAAGAACGGGUGUGAGAGUGGAAAGUUCACACUGUGACGGUAGCUUACCAGAAAGGGACGGCUAACUACGUG